GAGAGUUGGCAGAGUGGUCGAAUGCGGCGGUCUUGAAAACCGUUGUGCCGCAAGGUACCGGGGGUUCGAAUCCCUCACUCUCC
This 83-nucleotide transfer RNA is filed under the name uncultured Balneola sp. It matches the Rfam family "tRNA". Rfam says of the family: Transfer RNA (tRNA) molecules are approximately 80 nucleotides in length. Their secondary structure includes four short double-helical elements and three loops (D, anti-codon, and T loops). Further hydrogen bonds mediate the characteristic L-shaped molecular structure. tRNAs have two regions of fundamental functional importance: the anti-codon, which is responsible for specific mRNA codon recognition, and the 3' end, to which the tRNAs corresponding amino acid is attached (by aminoacyl-tRNA synthetases). tRNAs cope with the degeneracy of the genetic code in two manners: having more than one tRNA (with a specific anti-codon) for a particular amino acid; and 'wobble' base-pairing, i.e. permitting non-standard base-pairing at the 3rd anti-codon position. The record is from RNAcentral. Lineage: Bacteria; Pseudomonadati; Balneolota; Balneolia; Balneolales; Balneolaceae.